AGUGGAUAAUAUUGAUUAUAUAGGGAGGCCCAACAGCGGAUAAUAUUGAUUAUAUAGGGAGGCCCAACUGUGGAUAAUAUUGAUUAUAUAGAUAAUAUUGAUUAUAUAGGGAGGCCCAACAGUGGAUAAUAUUGAUUAUAUAGGGAGGCCCAACAGCGGAUAAUAUUGAUUAUAUAGGGAGGCCCAACAGCGGAUAAUAUUGAUUAUAUAGGGAGGCCCAACAGCGGAUAAUAUUGAUUAUAUAGGGAGGCCCAACAGUGGAUAAUAUUGAUUAUAUAGGGAGGCCCAACAGCGGAUAAUAUUGAUUAUAUAGGGAGGCCCAACAGCGGAUAAUAUUGAUUAUAUAGGGCAGAAAUGGAACAUCACUCUGUACUGUAACUAACUCAAGUCAGAAAGCCCUCCGCGAUAGAGCAGUACAUCAUCCGAACCCUCUCCUUGACCUAAACAACCUCCACUUGAAAUAAUAAGUCUCCCUCCCUUGUUUGGGGUAAUUUCCCUCAGUACGGAAAACACUGUCUAUUGUUCUGCUAACAGCCAGGAGGAGGCUGUGUCCCAAAAGAGCGCACUUCUUUCGACCAGGGCCGAUAUAUAUAGGACUCAGAGUCUACAGUAGUCCACUCUGCAGAG
Molecule: long non-coding RNA, 627 nt
Filed under: Salmo salar (Atlantic salmon)
Lineage: Eukaryota; Metazoa; Chordata; Actinopteri; Salmoniformes; Salmonidae
Description: lncRNA (ENSSSAG00000090172.1)
Source: RNAcentral